UCUUAAGAAUUCUUUUGAAGUCUAAAGUAGUAAAAUUGAAACUUAAAAAUUUUGGCAGUAUUCAAUUUUUUAGAGAAAUAUGUAAUUUAAUCGAAAAUACACGAAAAUCUUACUUGUUUUAUUUUUUGUAUAUCUCCGUUGACAGAUUUUUAUAAAAAAUAAAAUAAUUUUCUAUAAAUAAAAUAUAUGACAUCAGGUCAAGGUGCAGAAUAAAUAAGUUAUUAUGUAUUACAUUCAAAUUUAAUUGAGAUGAAUAAGUAAUUGGAAAUAUUAUUUUGAAAAUGAAUUUAUAAGUAAAAUAAAAGAAUAAUUUUAUUUGAAAUAUUAUUGAAUAUG
This 336-nucleotide ribosomal RNA is filed under the name Kumbadjena occidentalis. RNAcentral describes it as "partial 12S ribosomal RNA". The record is from RNAcentral. Lineage: Eukaryota; Metazoa; Onychophora; Udeonychophora; Euonychophora; Peripatopsidae.